UCAUAUCCUGACAUCGAUCGACAGCGAAGCACAGAAAACCCGUUUGGUCACAGCCGACUUGAAGCCCAAGUCUUCACCAAUUUACAAUAGAUUGAUGAGUUGUGAUAAUUAUCAUUAGGAUUGUCAUUAAUGCCUGAUUCUAGAUUAGCUACCUAGAACUUGCCCUAGGAUUGUUAGAUAAAAGCGAUAGCUUCAUUCUCAUCCUGAAACCAUUCUAACUGAGCUAAGUUUCUUGCUAAGGGUAAGGCGAGAGGUGAUCUAGUGAUCUUAGUAAGCAUCAUCCAACCUGCGCAUAAAGCU
This 300-nucleotide long non-coding RNA is filed under the name Brassica napus (rape). Its description in RNAcentral is "long non-coding RNA (BNAP_LNC021547)". Lineage: Eukaryota; Viridiplantae; Streptophyta; Magnoliopsida; Brassicales; Brassicaceae. The record is from RNAcentral.